CUUUUCUUUAAGAACAAAGGUUGGAGCCCAAGCCUUGCGGCGCGGUGCAGGAAAGUACACGGCGUGUGUUGAGAGAAAAAAAAUACACACACGCAAUGACCCACGAGAAAGGGAAAGGGGAAAACACCAACUACCCGGGCGCUGGGCUUUUUCGACUUUUCCUUUAAAAAGAAAAAAGUUUUUCAAGCUGGUCGCACGUUCGCAGGCGCGGGCUUCCUGUGCGCGGCCGAGCCCGGGCCCAGCGCCGCCUGCAGCCUCGGGAAGGGAGCGGAUAGCGGAGCCCCGAGCCGCCCGCAGAGCAAGCGCGGGGAACCAAGGAGACGCUCCUGGCACUGCAGAUAACUUGUCUGCAUUUCAAGAACAACCUACCAGAGACCUUACCUGUCACCUUGGCUCUCCCACCCAAUGGAGAUGGCUCUAAUGGUGGCACAAACCAGGAAGGGGAAAUCUGUGGUUUAAAUUCUUUAUGCCUCAUCCUCUGAGUGCUGAAGGCUUGCUGUAGGCUGUAUGCUGUUAAUGCUAAUCGUGAUAGGGGUUUUUGCCUCCAACUGACUCCUACAUAUUAGCAUUAACAGUGUAUGAUGCCUGUUACUAGCAUUCACAUGGAACAAAUUGCUGCCGUGGGAGGAUGACAAAGAAGCAUGAGUCACCCUGCUGGAUAAACUUAGACUUCAGGCUUUAUCAUUUUUCAAUCUGUUAAUCAUAAUCUGGUCACUGGGAUGUUCAACCUUAAACUAAGUUUUGAAAGUAAGGUUAUUUAAAAGAUUUAUCAGUAGUAUCCUAAAUGCAAACAUUUUCAUUUAAAUGUCAAGCCCAUGUUUGUUUUUAUCAUUAACAGAAAAUAUAUUCAUGUCAUUCUUAAUUGCAGGUUUUGGCUUGUUCAUUAUAAUGUUCAUAAACACCUUUGAUUCAACUGUUAGAAAUGUGGGCUAAACACAAAUUUCUAUAAUAUUUUUGUAGUUAAAAAUUAGAAGGACUACUAACCUCCAGUUAUAUCAUGGAUUGUCUGGCAACGUUUUUUAAAAGAUUUAGAAACUGGUACUUUCCCCCAGGUAACGAUUUUCUGUUCAGGCAACUUCAGUUUAAAAUUAAUACUUUUAUUUGACUCUUAAAGGGAAACUGAAAGGCUAUGAAGCUGAAUUUUUUUAAUGAAAUAUUUUUAACAGUUAGCAGGGUAAAUAACAUCUGACAGCUAAUGAGAUAUUUUUUCCAUACAAGAUAAAAAGAUUUAAUCAAAAAAUUUCAUAUUUGAAAUGAAGUCCCAAAUCUAGGUUCAAGUUCAAUAGCUUAGCCACAUAAUACGGUUGUGCGAGCAGAGAAUCUACCUUUCCACUUCUAAGCCUGUUUCUUCCUCCAUAUGGGGAUAAUACUUUACAAGGUUGUUGUGAGGCUUAGAUGAGAUAGAGAAUUAUUCCAUAAGAUAAUCAAGUGCUACAUUAAUGUUAUAGUUAGAUUAAUCCAAGAACUAGUCACCCUACUUUAUUAGAGAAGAGAAAAGCUAAUGAUUUGAUUUGCAGAAUAUUUAAGGUUUGGAUUUCUAUGCAGUUUUUCUAAAUAACCAUCACUUACAAAUAUGUAACCAAACGUAAUUGUUAGUAUAUUUAAUGUAAACUUGUUUUAACAACUCUUCUCAACAUUUUGUCCAGGUUAUUCACUGUAACCAAAUAAAUCUCAUGAGUCUUUAGUUGAUUUAAAAUAAUUUUUAUGGCCCAUUUUCUUUUGCAAAGUACAAAUUAUAAUUCCAGAAGCUAUCUGCCAAAAAAAGACAAUGGAAGAAAAUUAUGAGGACACUAAAGGGAACAUUCCUGACUCCUAGGACACAGUAUUCUCAUGUAAGAAUACCCAUUUGGCUUUGCCCCACUUUCUGUUCAAGUUGUAUGUGCUGCCAAGACAAAUUUCUUCUCCUCACUUUCUGUUCAAGUUGUAUGUGCUGCCAACACAAAUUUCUUCUCCUAACACCUGGAAUGAGCUUGUGGCUCCACGGAGCUCCCAUGUAGGUAGAACACAUUCAAGAGUGUUUCUUCAGGCCAGGCACAGUGGCUCACGCCUAUAAUUCCAACACUUUGGGAGGCCAAGGCGGGUGGUUCACUUGAGGUCAGGAGUUCUACACUACCCUGGCCAACAUAGUGAAACCUCGUCUCUACUAAAAAUACAAAAAUUAGCUAGGCAUGGUGGUGCGUGCCUGUAAUCCCAGAUACUCAGGAGGCUGGGGCAGAAGAAUCACUUGAACCCAGGAGGUGGAGUUCACAGUGAACGAAGAUCGUGCCACUGCCCUCCAGCCUGGGUGACAGAGUGAGACUCCAUCUCAAAAAAAAAAAAAAGUGUCUGUUCAAUUCAUUUUAUCUGCCACUGUAUAUCUACAAGAGGACUCCUUGCUUUGAGUCCCAGUUCUUCAAAAUCCUGCUUGCUGCCUAAAGACACAAAGUCAUAGAACAUUAGGACUGGAAUAAACUAUUGUAGUAUAACCUUCCUGCUGUUACAAUAAAAAGCUAUAAACAUUACAAAGGCACUUAAAGAAAAGCUGUGCUGGGAAAUGCCUUAUUUGAAGAGCAUUUGGGUACACUCACAUGAAGCUUUGGAAAGUUACUUAAUCUUCCUCUAAGCCUCAAUUUCUUCAUCAAUAAAAUGAUGAAUAUAUUUCAUAUUUCAUAAGAUGUAGGCUUAAAUGAAAUCAUGCAUGUGAAAAGCACAAUGUCUAUUAUGCAUUAAGUGUUAAACACAAACUUUCAAACUUUUACAUUUCAGUCAUUUAAAUCAAAUGAUCUACCAUAGCAGAUCUCCCCAAAGACACUCUAGCUCCAAACUAACUAUAAUCAAUCCCGUGGUGACGACCCAAAGAACCAGGGUUCCUGGGUUUUCUCUCACGCCCAGCCCACCUAGGCUUCUGACUGCCUAUCUCCUCAUCUUAGAGGGAUUCCUCCUGACCAGUCAUUACAAAAAUUCUUGGAGCAUGAGCAAGACUGAGUCUGUGUUUGGAUUGGAGGAAGGGGUAAGUAACAAGGUAUAUAUAUGUAUAUGUGUGUGUGUGUGUGUGUGUGUGUGUGUGUGUGUGUGCGCGCGCGUUUGUGUUUAAGUUACAAACUAAGGAUGGUUUUAAAAAAUUGCAAAAUGUUAAGAGAUUUAUCUAGGAUCUGACCCACUUCCCCAGAAAUUUACGGAAUUCAAGACCAAGCCUUUCGUAUUCACUGUCAUCAGUUAGAUGGACCCAGUAGCUAAAAAAUUAAGGAGAAAAAAAAUAGAGGAAUAUGAGGGAAAAAGUCAAGUCAGAGGACUGAAGAAUAUAUACAGAACAUAGAAUAUUAGAAAUUUUCUGAAAAUAGAUGAUAGCAAAUACCUCAAGAAAGUGAGGAAACGUGAAAAGGGAGCUUAAAGAAAAAUAAUAGAGUCCAUACAUGGGACACAAGCACAAAAAGCUGACUGAGCAUGUGGUUCUCUACUAAUAAUAACUGGAAAACAGUGAAACCAGCAGGAAAAACUUGCACAUAAGAGUUUAACUUUCCACUUUGGGUUUCAAAUUCUCCCAUAGCAAUAAGAGUAAGUGAAAUAAUGUUCACAUAAGGAUUUUUUUUUUUUCUAUUACUGUAGUGUUUUGUUUUGUUUUGUUUUGGUUUUGGUUUUUGGUGGUUUUUUUUUUUUUGAGACAAAGUCUCGCUCUUGUCCCCCAGUCUGGAGUGCAAUGUCAUGAUCUUGGCUCACUGCAACCUCCGCCUCCCGGGUUCAAGUGAUUCUCCUGCCUCAGCCUCCCAAGUGGCUGGGAUUACAGGUGCGUACCACCACGCCCAGCUAAUUUUUUGUAUUUUAAGCAGAGACGGGGUUUCACCAUGUUGGCCAGGCUGGUCUCGAACUCCUGACCUCAGGUGAUCCAUCCAUCUCAGCCUCCCAAAGUGCUGGGAUUACAGGUGUGAGCCACCGCACCCGGCCUGUUACUGUAGUGUUUUAACAAAUCUAAGUGUAAUAGUAUUAGUCUUCAUUCAUCUAAGACAUACAAGUACUGGAAUUUUUUAGGUGGGUUCCUCAAAUGUCAUCACAGUGGUGUCUUCUCUACAUUCAGUCACUCUUCCGCCCUUCUCUGUAAUGCUCAGGGAUUUCCCAGUUCACUAGCACUUAACAUAGUAUGUCCUUACUUACUUUGGGGUAUAAAUGACUGCAAUAGAAGAAGUGAUAUCCUUGAGGGAUGAAACACGAUCUUGCAUAUUCAUAUCCCUUUCAAAUGUUUACUGACUUAAUCACACCAUUAGUUUUCUAAGUCCAAGUCUAAAAACAGAAAUGAGUUUAAAUACAGUGAACAUUUCAUUUUCACUAUACCACUAAGCUGAAAGAAAUGAUUUUUGGUAAAUAAAAGUUCAUCACAGUGAAAAGUUCUACAUAUAACUGAAGAUCAAAGGAUUCUCACCUGGGAAGCUUGUCAAGAUGCAUGUUCCCAAGCUCCCAGGCUCCCACUCCCAGAGAUUCUAAUACUGUAAUGGAGCUGAGGACACUACAUUUUUAACAGGCUGACCAGGUAGUUCAGAUUCAGGUGGUUCCUAAACCAACUCUGAGGAAGUAGUGGUUUUAUAUACGAUGCUACUGUUGAUGUGGCUACUAGGAAUGGUGCUCAGCAGAAAUCCUGCAACAUAUGGAUCUGUUUACACACUAUUCACUGUGUAAUGAGAGUCUGCAACAUAGGCUAAGUAAUAAGAGAUGUCUUGUGGUUGACCUCUCUGGAGAUAAGCAGCAAUGAAAUUCCAAUGAAGUUUCAUCAUCUCUCAUCACCAAAACCAUCCUAACCACCUCAAUAAAAUACACCUGACUUCCCCCGCUCCCCCGACCCACCACCCCAAAACCAGCUGCCCUAUGUUCUACCAAAAGCUGCAACCAACCAAUGACCUGAUACUAACCCCAAUCUAUCAGCUGCUGCCUAGUGCAACAGAGAGGGAAAGUCAAUGAGAAGGAAUUGGGUGCCAGUUCUUGCUUUGCAAGGAGUGGGUUGACUAAUGAGACAGCCACAAAUGUCACUGCCAUCCCAUCUCACCCUUUCACCUGUGCUGCAAGGCUUCAACAAUCAUACCCAGUCUCCACUUAGGAAAAUUCUGUCCUUUCUCAAAUGCUGGCCACUCAGCAAUGUGCUCCCUUAAUCCAGGCCAAGCACAUAGUAAAAGAACUCCAAAAAGGGUUACAGCCAAAAGUGAUCUUUCUCCUCCAUACUCCCAAAGCAGAUUAUAGCUCCUCCAUAAACGUGCUUCGCAUUGUGCCCCACGUUUGGUUUGUUACUUGUGUAUACAUUAUCGUCUCUUCUAGAUUGAGCUUCUGUAGGAAAGGAGAAUCCUUUUCAAUUUUUUGGUAUUACACCCAGCUCAGGACCUUGCUCAGUUGCUUAAAUUGAAUGAGAAAAUGUAUCUAAGUACCCACUGAUGUUGGAAAUUCAACUUGUUCCAAUAUUGAGGACUGCCUAUACCUGGCAUAUGCGUGUCCCAAUUUGAGAAAUUGUUUUUCAAGUUGACUUGUAUGGAUUCCUUACAGACGCUCAAGCAUCAGUUUGGUUUUCCCUAAAUCCUGCAGAUCAGGAAGGCAGUAUCCAUGUUUGCUUUAAGAAAUUUCAUUACUAUAAAUAUAUGAAAUAUUAUAAAUAUAAAAAUUCAUAUAUUAUAAAUAUAUGAAAUUUUGUCUGCAGAAUUUUUUUCUCAACAGGCAAUCCUGACAUAAUAACCAAUUUUGAGAUGCUUCAAAAAUAACACUGCAGUAGUAGCCACUCCUAAAACAAAAUAUUUCCCCUUUCCUUCAAUAUAUGUAAUCACAUAUGACAUAUAAAAUCUGCUUAUUGGAUAAAUUUAUCUUUAAAAGACUAUCUAUAUUUAUUAAAAGUUAAAAUACAUAUACUCUUUGACCUGGAAUCAAGUACAACAAUGUAUUUUACAGAGCUACCAGCACACGUGUGGAAUUAUAUAUGUACAAGGCUACUAACUGAAGUAUUAGUAUAGUAACAAAAAUUAAAAAUCAACCAUAAAUAGGGAAUAAAUAAUGGUACACCUAUGAAUGAAAUACUAACUUCUAAAACACAAAGUAAAAAGAAAGGGAAAAUAAGGAAAACUGGAUUAAUCCAACAUAUGACAGGAAAGGAGAAAAAAAUAAUGCAAAGAAAUGAUAAUCACAGUAAAGUGAAUACAAAUUAAAAUUUAUCUACUAAAAGACAGUAAUUCAAAGACUAGAUUUAAAAGGAAAAUAAGUUUUAUGCUAUUUACAAAAGACAGACUUAAAACCUAACAACAUAAAAAUGCUGAAAGUAAUAUACCAGGUAAACACUAAAAAAAAAAAAAAAAAAAAAAAAAACUAGUAUUAACAAUAGAACCUGAUUUUCUAAAAAAUAGAUUAAGAAAACUAGAUUAAAGGAGAAAAUCAUUAUUACCGAGAUAGAGAGGAUCAUUACUUAAAUGAUAAAAAGAAGCAAUUUAUCAGCACGUUUAAAAAUCCCAAAACAGAAUACACAGUGCUAACAAAAUCAUCUUAAAAUAAAAUAAGCAAAUGCUGAUUUAGCCAUAGGAGAAACCGCCAAAUCCACAAUCAUUUUAGGAGAAUGGGUUUAAGAAAGGAAAAAAAAAAAAAAGAUUUCUGUAUGCUCUUAAGAGAAAAUCUAAAAAAUAAUGACAUGAAAAAGUUGAAAGGAAUGGAAAAAUAUGUACCAUUAAAAGGAAACCCGACGUAUGAAUGCCAUUAUCAGACAAAACAGAUUUUUUUCUUUUUGAGAUGGAGUCUCACUCUGUGGCCCAGGCUGGAGUGCAGUGGCACAAUCUCUGCUCACAGCAAGCUCCGCCUCCCAGGUUCAUGCCAUUCUCCUGCCUCAGCCUCCCAAGUAGCUGGGACUACAGGCACCCACCACCACACCAGGCUAGUAUUUGUAUUUUUAGUAGAGACGGGGUUUCAUCGUGUUAGCCAGGAUGGUCUCAAUCUUCUGACCUCGUGAUCUGCCCACCUCAGCCUCCCAAAGUGCUGGGAUUACAGGCAUGAGCCACCGCGCCCAGCCAGACAAAACAGAUUUUAAGACAACUAAGAAGUUAACAAGCUGACCCUACAAUAAGCAUGAAAAUUUUGAAAAAGAAUAGGAAAGGAGAACUCACCAUAAGAGAAAUUGAAACUUGUUAUAAAGCUAUAGUUGUUAAAACGGUGUUACUACAGUGGUACAUGGACAGAUAAAUGGACCAAUGAAGCAGACCCAGGCACUGAAAGGAACCUUUUAUAUGACAGCAUGGCACAAUCAGUAAGAAUAGAGAGGAAAUAGGCCAGGCACGGUGGCUCACGCCUGUAAUCCCAGUACUUUGGGAGGCCAAGGCAGGCAGAUCACCUGAGGUCAGGAGUUCGAGACCAGCCUGGUCAACAUGGUGAAACCGCGUCUCUACUAAAAAUACAAAAAUUAGCUGGUCGUGGUGGCAGGCACCUGUAAUCCCAGCUACUCGGGAGGCUGAGGCAGGAGAAUCACUUGAACCCGGCUAGCGGAGGCUGCAGUGAGCCGAGAUCACGCCAUUGCACUCCAGCCUAGGCAACAAGAGUGAAACUCCAUCACAAAAAAAAAAGAAAAAGAGUAGACAGGAAAUAAAUGGUCCAGAAUAACUGCCUAUCCUUGUGGAGGAGAGGGUGAUUCAAAAUUAGGUCCCUUUCCUCACUCUAUAUGCAAAAAACAAACUUCAAAUAAAUUAUACAAUUAAAUGUGAAAAUCAAGACUUUAAAAUAAACAAUGCAGUAGGCUGCUUUAUAAUAUCAAGUUAGGGAAGGCUUUCUUAAAUUUCAUAAACAUAAAUCAUAGAGGAAAAGAUGAACUGUCUACCUUAAAAUUAAAGACGAUAUAAACAAAAUUAAAAGGUAAGCCAGACAAAAGAAAUAUUUGUAGUGACAACGGUUUAACUUUCUUUCUUUCUUUUUUUUUUUUUGAGACGGAAUCUCACUCUGUCACCCAGGCUGGAGUACACUGGUGCAAUCUCAGCUCACUGCAACCUCCACCUCCCAGGUUCAAGCGAUUCUUGUGCCUCAGCCUCCCAAGUAGCUGGGAUGACAGGUACGCACCACCACACCCAGCUAAUUUUUUGUAUUUUUAGCAGAGACGGGGUUUCACCAUGUUGGCCAGGCUGGUCUCGAAUUCCUGACCUCAGGUGAUCCAUCUGCCUCAGCCUCCCAAAGUGCUGGGAUUACAGGAGUGAGCCACUGCACCUGGCCCACAAGGGUUUCACUUUCUAAAAAUAUAAAGAACUGGCCAGGUGCAAUGGCUCACACUUGUAAUCCUAGCACUUUGGGAGGGCAAGGAGAGCAGAUCGCUAGAGGCCAGAAGCUGGAGAACAGCCUGGCCAACAUGGUGAAACCCCAUCUCUACUUUAAAAAUAUAAAAAUUAGUUGGGUGUGGUGGCACUUGCCUAUAAUCCCAGCUACUUGGCUACUCAGGAGGCCGAGGCAGGGGAAUCGCUUGAAUCCAGUAGGCAGAGGCUACAGUGAGCCAAGAUCAUGCCACUGCACUACAGCUUGGGCAACAGAGUGAGACUUGGUCUCAAAAAAAAAAAAAAUUAUAUAUAUAUAUCUUAUAUAUAUACACUAUUAUAUAUAUACACACACACACACACACACACACACACACACACACACACAAUUAAUAUGAGAUGCCCAAAAAUCCAAUUGUAAAAAGGGGCAAAGGUUGUAAACUGGUAAUUCAUAAAAACAAAUGAAGAGAUGCUUAUUGGUACUAUAUGCUCAGUAUUAAGCAAAUUAAAUGAGAUAGGAUCGUGCAUAUUCAACCAACAAAAUAUCUGAAUGUCUGAAAAUAAUAAAUGUUAAUGAGGGAGUGGAGAAAAUGGGAAUGCUCAUACUGCUGAUAGAGAGUAAACUGGUACAACUAUUGUGGCAGCCAAUUAAUAUUUAGUAAAGCUGAAGAUGCAUGGUCCACUGUGGUACAGGCCCUGGAGAUAUUAUCAAAUGUGUACACAAAGAAACACGCACAAGGAUAUUUUCUGCGAUACUGUAAUACUCAAAAGCCAAUGACAUCCUCAGUGGUCAUCAAUAAGAAAAUGAAUUAAUGAUGGGAUUAAUCAUAUAAUGAAAUACUAUAUAGCAGUUGAAAUGAAUGUACUCUUUACAUGUAUCAACAUGCUAUACAUAAAAAACAAUGAUGAGCAAUAAAAGCAAAUUGCAAAAGGAUAUAUAUUAUGAAACCAAUUAUGUUUAGUUUUAAAACACAGAGAAUACUAUGGAUUGUAGUAAAAAAAAAUAUAAAAUCAUGAAGAGUAAGGACAGGUACAAACAGGAUAGUGGUUCUUC
Molecule: long non-coding RNA, 9270 nt
Filed under: Homo sapiens (human)
Lineage: Eukaryota; Metazoa; Chordata; Mammalia; Primates; Hominidae
Description: non-protein coding MIR155HG:7
Rfam family: mir-155 microRNA precursor family (bases 511-575)
Source: RNAcentral